AGAGUUUGAUCCUGGCUCAGAUUGAACGCUGGCGGCAGGCCUAACACAUGCAAGUCGAGCGGUAGCACAGAGAGCUUGCUCUCGGGUGACGAGCGGCGGACGGGUGAGUAAUGUCUGGGAAACUGCCUGAUGGAGGGGGAUAACUACUGGAAACGGUAGCUAAUACCGCAUAACGUCGCAAGACCAAAGUGGGGGACCUUCGGGCCUCAUGCCAUCAGAUGUGCCCAGAUGGGAUUAGCUAGUAGGUGGGGUAAUGGCUCACCUAGGCGACGAUCCCUAGCUGGUCUGAGAGGAUGACCAGCCACACUGGAACUGAGACACGGUCCAGACUCCUACGGGAGGCAGCAGUGGGGAAUAUUGCACAAUGGGCGCAAGCCUGAUGCAGCCAUGCCGCGUGUGUGAAGAAGGCCUUCGGGUUGUAAAGCACUUUCAGCGGGGAGGAAGGCGGUGAGGUUAAUAACCUCAUCGAUUGACGUUACCCGCAGAAGAAGCACCGGCUAACUCCGUGCCAGCAGCCGCGGUAAUACGGAGGGUGCAAGCGUUAAUCGGAAUUACUGGGCGUAAAGCGCACGCAGGCGGUCUGUCAAGUCGGAUGUGAAAUCCCCGGGCUCAACCUGGGAACUGCAUUCGAAACUGGCAGGCUAGAGUCUUGUAGAGGGGGGUAGAAUUCCAGGUGUAGCGGUGAAAUGCGUAGAGAUCUGGAGGAAUACCGGUGGCGAAGGCGGCCCCCUGGACAAAGACUGACGCUCAGGUGCGAAAGCGUGGGGAGCAAACAGGAUUAGAUACCCUGGUAGUCCACGCCGUAAACGAUGCCGAUUUGGAGGUUGUGCCCUUGAGGCGUGGCUUCCGGAGCUAACGCGUUAAAUCGACCGCCUGGGGAGUACGGCCGCAAGGUUAAAACUCAAAUGAAUUGACGGGGGCCCGCACAAGCGGUGGAGCAUGUGGUUUAAUUCGAUGCAACGCGAAGAACCUUACCUGGUCUUGACAUCCACAGAACUUAGCAGAGAUGCUUUGGUGCCUUCGGGAACUGUGAGACAGGUGCUGCAUGGCUGUCGUCAGCUCGUGUUGUGAAAUGUUGGGUUAAGUCCCGCAACGAGCGCAACCCUUAUCCUUUGUUGCCAGCGGUCCGGCCGGGAACUCAAAGGAGACUGCCAGUGAUAAACUGGAGGAAGGUGGGGAUGACGUCAAGUCAUCAUGGCCCUUACGACCAGGGCUACACACGUGCUACAAUGGCAUAUACAAAGAGAAGCGACCUCGCGAGAGCAAGCGGACCUCAUAAAGUAUGUCGUAGUCCGGAUUGGAGUCUGCAACUCGACUCCAUGAAGUCGGAAUCGCUAGUAAUCGUAGAUCAGAAUGCUACGGUGAAUACGUUCCCGGGCCUUGCACACACCGCCCGUC
This 1398-nucleotide ribosomal RNA is filed under the name uncultured bacterium. Its description in RNAcentral is "bacterial SSU rRNA". It matches the Rfam family "Bacterial small subunit ribosomal RNA". The record is from RNAcentral.